RNAcentral lists this ribosomal RNA (431 nucleotides) under uncultured bacterium. Its description in RNAcentral is "partial 16S ribosomal RNA". It matches the Rfam family "Bacterial small subunit ribosomal RNA", at positions 29 to 507 of the family's 1533-position model. The record is from RNAcentral.
AACGAACGCUGGCGGCAGGCUUAACACAUGCAAGUCGAGCGCCCCGCAAGGGGAGCGGCCGACGGGUGAGUAACGCGUGGGAACGUACCUUUUGGUUCGGAACAACUCCGGGAAACUGGAGCUAAUACCGGAUAAGCCCUAACGGGGAAAGAUUUAUCGCCGAAAGAUCGGCCCGCGUCUGAUUAGCUAGUUGGUGAGGUAACGGCUCACCAAGGCGAUGAUCAGUAGCUGGUCUGAGAGGAUGAUCAGCCACACUGGGACUGAGACACGGCCCAGACUCCUACGGGAGGCAGCAGUGGGGAAUAUUGGACAAUGGGCGCAAGCCUGAUCCAGCCAUGCCGCGUGAGUGAUGAAGGCCUUAGGGUUGUAAAGCUCUUUUGUCCGGGAAGAUAAUGACUGUACCGGAAGAAUAAGCCCCGGCUAACUUCGUG